Molecule: ribosomal RNA, 442 nt
Filed under: uncultured bacterium
Lineage: Bacteria
Description: partial 16S ribosomal RNA
Rfam family: Bacterial small subunit ribosomal RNA
Source: RNAcentral
CCUACGGGAGGCAGCAGUGGGGAAUAUUGGGCAAUGGGCGCAAGCCUGACCCAGCAACGCCGCGUGAAGGAAGAAGGCUUUCGGGUUGUAAACUUCUUUUAAGAGGGAAGAGCAGAAGACGGUACCUCUUGAAUAAGCCACGGCUAACUACGUGCCAGCAGCCGCGGUAAUACGUGGGUGGCAAGCGUUGUCCGGAUUUACUGGGUGUAAAGGGCGUGCAGCCGGGAAGACAAGUCAGAUGUGAAAUCCCGGGGCUCAACCGCGGAACUGCAUUUGAAACUGUUUUUCUUGAGUACCGGAGAGGUCAUCGGAAUUCCUGGUGUAGCGGUGAAAUGCGUAGAUAUAAGGAAGAACACCAGUGGCGAAGGCGGAUGACUGGACGGCAACUGACGGUGAGGCGCGAAGGCGUGGGGAGCAAACAGGAUUAGAUACCCCUGUAGUC